This is a small nucleolar RNA of Cephalotus follicularis, 107 nucleotides long. It matches the Rfam family "Plant small nucleolar RNA R71". From Rfam's summary of the family: R71 is a member of the C/D box family of snoRNAs containing the C (UGAUGA) and D (CUGA) box motifs. Multiple nearly identical copies of this snoRNA have been identified in Arabidopsis, and it is thought to function as a 2'-O-ribose methylation guide for 18S ribosomal RNA. The record is from Rfam. Lineage: Eukaryota; Viridiplantae; Streptophyta; Magnoliopsida; Oxalidales; Cephalotaceae.
ACGACAUGAUGGGGACAUUUUUGGAUGAGAUCCUUUAAUCUAUCCCAUGAUUCAUGGAACUGCUCACUAUCAUGCUGUGAAAAGCUAGUGAGAGCUCGCCUUAUCUG